UACGUAGGGGGCAAGCGUUGUCCGGAAUCAUUGGGCGUAAAGGGUGCGUAGGCGGGCGGGUAAGUCAGGGGUGAAAUCCCACGGCCCAACCGUGGAAGUGCCUCUGAUACUGCGUGCCUGGAGGGGGAUAGGGGCGUGCGGAACUUCCGGUGGAGCGGUGAAAUGCGUAGAUAUCGGGAGGAACACCUGUGGCGAAAGCGGCGCACUGGACCACAACUGACGCUGAGGCGCGAAAGCUAGGGGAGCAAACAGG
RNAcentral lists this ribosomal RNA (253 nucleotides) under uncultured bacterium. RNAcentral's name for it is "partial 16S ribosomal RNA". It matches the Rfam family "Bacterial small subunit ribosomal RNA", at positions 524 to 776 of the family's 1533-position model. The record is from RNAcentral.